Molecule: ribosomal RNA, 409 nt
Filed under: uncultured bacterium
Lineage: Bacteria
Description: partial 16S ribosomal RNA
Rfam family: Bacterial small subunit ribosomal RNA
Source: RNAcentral
CCUACGGGCGGCAGCAGUGAGGAAUAUUGGUCAAUGGCCGUAAGGCUGAACCAGCCAAGUCGCGUGAAGGAAGAAGGAUCUAUGGUUUGUAAACUUCUUUUAUAGGGGAAUAAAGGUAUCCACGUGUGGAUAUUUGCAUGUACCCUAUGAAUAAGCAUCGGCUAACUCCGUGCCAGCAGCCGCGGUAAUACGGAGGAUGCGAGCGUUAUCCGGAUUUAUUGGGUUUAAAGGGUGCGUAGGCGGAUUUUUAAGUCAGCGGUAAAAUGUCCGGGCAAAACCCGGGCCGGCGGUUGAAACUGGGGAUCUGGAGUGGGCGAGAAGUAUGCGCAGUGCGUGGUGUAGGGGUGAAAGGCAUAGAUGUCACGCAGAACUGGGAUGGGGAAGGCAGCAUACCGGCGCCCGACUGACG